GCCCCUGAUGUCUCAGUUGGUAGAACAUGAGACUUUGAAUCUCAGGGUUGUGGGUUUGAGCCCCAUUUUGGGCA
Non-coding RNA from Podarcis lilfordi (Lilford's wall lizard), 74 nucleotides. The record is from the annotation of a GenBank genome assembly. NCBI's taxonomy places the organism in Eukaryota, Metazoa, Chordata, Lepidosauria, Squamata, Lacertidae.